CGCGGCCUAUCAGCUUGUUGGUGGGGUAAUGGCCUACCAAGGCGACGACGGGUAGCCGACCUGAGAGGGUGACCGGCCACACUGGGACUGAGACACGGCCCAGACUCCUACGGGAGGCAGCAGUGGGGAAUAUUGCACAAUGGGCGAAAGCCUGAUGCAGCGACGCCGCGUGAGGGAUGACGGCCUUCGGGUUGUAAACCUCUUUCAGCAGGGACGAAGCGCAAGUGACGGUACCUGCAGAAGAAGCACCGGCUAACUACGUGCCAGCAGCCGCGGUAAUACGUAGGGUGCAAGCGUUGUCCGGAAUUACUGGGCGUAAAGAGUUCGUAGGCGGUUUGUCGCGUCGUUUGUGAAAACCAGCAGCUCAACUGCUGGCUUGCAGGCGAUACGGGCAGACUUGAGUACUGCAGGGGAGACUGGAAUUCCUGGUGUAGUGGUGAAAUGCGCAGAUAUCAGGAGGAACACCGGUGGCGAAGGCGGGUCUCUGGGCAGUAACUGACGCUGAGGAACGAAAGCGUGGGUAGCGAACAGGAUUAGAUACCCUGGUAGUCCACGCCGUAAACGGUGGGCGCUAGGUGUGGGUUCCUUCCACGGAAUCCGUGCCGUAGCUAACGCAUUAAGCGCCCCGCCUGGGGAGUACGG
Molecule: ribosomal RNA, 642 nt
Filed under: uncultured bacterium
Lineage: Bacteria
Description: bacterial SSU rRNA
Rfam family: Bacterial small subunit ribosomal RNA
Source: RNAcentral